GAGUUUCAGCCACUUUCCCUGACGCAAGGUCGGGGUCGUUACGAAUAGGACAAAUAUACACCAAGCCUUUGAAGGAUGAGGUUCCAGUUCAGCUCCUACUUCACGACUCUCUUUCCAGAAACUCAUUCUCUCCCUUCUUUCUCCUUCAAACUUCGUUCUACCAUAACUUUCAUUCUACAACUCCAAUUCUUGCGCCGCUUUCGCCUUUAGGAUCAUAUGAACGAGCUCUACAAGAUAAGUGUGGUUUGGGAGAAUGGUGGUCACUAGGCAGCUCAUUGAAGGUUGUGGAUUACUUUGGAGCUGUUAAGAUGACAUGAAAGGAGGAUUCAGACCAAAAUUCAUUCUCCAGCCCGAAGUCAAAAUCUGCGUCUGCUAAGCUCUGCAGGAAAUGUGGCCACAGUGCCAGAAUCCUUGUAGCAUCUAAAAUUUGAUGCCCCAAUUUUAUAUUUUGUUGUUACAUUGGAGGGAUUCGAACCUGAGUAAGGAAUAAUCCAAAGCCUUUCAGGCUC
This is a long non-coding RNA of Prunus avium (sweet cherry), 509 nucleotides long. RefSeq lists it as uncharacterized. The record is from RefSeq and is a predicted model, not a curated record. NCBI's taxonomy places the organism in Eukaryota, Viridiplantae, Streptophyta, Magnoliopsida, Rosales, Rosaceae.